Molecule: long non-coding RNA, 351 nt
Organism: Arachis stenosperma
Lineage: Eukaryota; Viridiplantae; Streptophyta; Magnoliopsida; Fabales; Fabaceae
Exons: 3
Source: RefSeq, a predicted model, not a curated record
CUUCGGACUCUCGCUCUCAAUCUCACUGGCGCUCUCAAUCUUGCUCCUCCGCUCCUUGAAUCUCUCUCGUUUCAACAAAUUUUAGGAUUGGAUUUGUUAUUCUCUGUUUUGAGGUAUAAAUGAGUUUAACUGCUCCUUCAAUUCAGUGGUGGGACUAGCAAGAAAACUUCACAAUCAGAUUUGCUAAUCAGAGUUGGAGAAUAACGGAAUAGAAUUUUGUGAAAGGAAUUGAAGACGGAGAGAAGCCAUGGCUCAUCGGUUUUUGUUUCGCUUUUCUGCUUUCAAGGUGUCUGAUUGAUCAAAAUCAAAGAACUAAUCAUUUAUCUCUAAUCAAGUCCUAUUGAUAUGCUU